Molecule: long non-coding RNA, 200 nt
Organism: Sinocyclocheilus grahami
Lineage: Eukaryota; Metazoa; Chordata; Actinopteri; Cypriniformes; Cyprinidae
Exons: 4
Source: RefSeq, a predicted model, not a curated record
CUUGUAAUUGCUUCAGUGGCUGUUGUGUUUCUGGCGUCCACCGUAUCAACAGCUCCUGUUGAAGAUAAGGAGCCUGAGGAAAAUGACUUUGAGGCUGAAGAGGGUGAAGAAGAACUGUCUGAGGAGGAAGAGGAUGAUGAUGACUCCAAAGGUCAGCAUAUGAAGGGAGCCGGAUCGCAGCAGGCCACUGCAGCACCCAG